This 561-nucleotide ribosomal RNA is filed under the name uncultured bacterium. RNAcentral describes it as "bacterial SSU rRNA". It matches the Rfam family "Bacterial small subunit ribosomal RNA", at positions 777 to 1347 of the family's 1533-position model. The record is from RNAcentral.
AAUAGAUACCCCGGUAGUCCACGCCGUAAACGAUGGAUGCUAGCUAUUGGGGGGAAUCGACCCCCUCCGAAGCGAAGCUAACGCGUUAAGCAUCCCGCCUGAGUAGUACGAGCGCAAGCUUAAAACUCAAAGGAAUUGACGGGGACCCGCACAAGCGGUGGAGCGUGUGGUUUAAUUCGAUGGUAAACGAAGAACCUUACCAAGGUUUGACAUCCCGGUAGCCGUUCUCCGAAAGGAGAAUUUCAUUUAGUUGGACCGGUGACAGGUGAUGCAUGGCCGUCGUCAGCUCGUGUCGUGAGAUGUUGGGUUAAGUCCCGCAACGAGCGCAACCCUUAUGAUUUAGUUGGAUUUUUCUAAACAGACUGCCCUGGUAACGGGGAGGAAGGAGGGGAUGAUGUCAGGUCAGUAUUUCCCUUACACCUUGGGCGACACACGCGCUACAAUGGCCGGUACAAUGGGCAGCUAAGCCGCGAGGUGGAGCAAAUCCCAUCAAAGCCGGUCCCAGUUCGGAUUGCAGGCUGAAACCCGCCUGCAUGAAGCCGGAAUCGCUAGUAACCAGCG